Molecule: long non-coding RNA, 204 nt
Filed under: Trifolium pratense (red clover)
Lineage: Eukaryota; Viridiplantae; Streptophyta; Magnoliopsida; Fabales; Fabaceae
Description: long non-coding RNA (TPRA_LNC011268)
Source: RNAcentral
AAAGUCAGUACACGAUUAGAACAAUAUUAUUUUAAUUUGAAGCUUAUGUAACCUUCAAUGACCACAACUGUUUUCAUCUGUGUCUAUGUUUAUAAAAUAAUGACCUACUGAUCUUGCUUGAUCUGAUACAAACCAAGAUAUAAAAGAAAUAUUCUCAUCUAAAUUCGAAUUAACGAAUUUGGUAAUUAAGGCAUAUUGACAUAU